Molecule: ribosomal RNA, 479 nt
Filed under: uncultured bacterium
Lineage: Bacteria
Description: bacterial SSU rRNA
Rfam family: Bacterial small subunit ribosomal RNA
Source: RNAcentral
GAUGAACGCUGGCGGCGUGCUUAACACAUGCAAGUCGAACGAAGCACUUAUGAUCGAGAUUUCGGUUGAUUGAUUAAGUGACUUAGUGGCGGACGGGUGAGUAACGCGUGGGUAACCUGCCUUGUACAGGGGGAUAACAGUUAGAAAUGACUGCUAAUACCGCAUAACCCGCUAAGGUCGCAUGACCUAGACGGAAAAGGUUUAUCGGUACAAGAUGGACCCGCGUCUGAUUAGCUAGUUGGUGAGGUAACGGCCUACCAAGGCGACGAUCAGUAGCCGGCCUGAGAGGGUGACCGGCCACAUUGGGACUGAGACACGGCCCAAACUCCUACGGGAGGCAGCAGUGGGGAAUAUUGCACAAUGGGGGAAACCCUGAUGCAGCAACGCCGCGUGAGUGAAGAAGUAUUUCGGUAUGUAAAGCUCUAUCAGCAGGGAAGAAAAUGACGGUACCUGACUAAGAAGCCCCGGCUAACUACGUG